UUUCGCCUGUGUUUGAAAUCCAACCUGAUAUACAUGAUUUGUUCCACUAGGCUACUGGCUGAUUUAAACAGAGUUGCUCUUGUUACGCAGGCUGGAGUGCAAUGGCUCACUGCAACCUCCGAUCUUGGUUCACUGCAACCUCCGCCUCCCGGGUUCAAGCGAUUCUCCUGCCUCAGCCUCCCGAGUAGCUGGGAUUACAGAUUGUUUCCAGUUCUUGAAGACAUACACAUAUAAUUUGACACAGAUGUAAACAACGUGCAGAUGCUGCAUUGAAAUCUGAAUUUUAUCUUAGCUUUAUAUUGUAAACAUUCUACAUGAUACACCGUUUUUAGAUUUAUAUUUUAAUCAUUGUAUACCAGUCUGUCACAUAUCAAAAUCGACUUAAUCACAUUUUCCAAUUUUUGGAUGUUUAGGAUUUUUUCUUAUAAUAAAGAAUUCGCAAAGUACAUUUAGGGCUCUAAAAUAUUCAUAUGGCUUAUCCUUUAGGAAUUAUCUUCAGCUUAAAUUCCCAGAAAAGAACAUUCUCCUGAUGUUGAUUGACUAAUGUCAAUUUCUACCAGCAACAAAUGAGAAUUUUUAUGGCUCCACAUCCUCCCCAGCAUUGGUGUUGUCAAUGUUUUGGAUGUUGGCCACGCUAACAGGCAUGUAGUGAUAUCCUAUCCCAUUGUCGUUUGCAUUUCCCUAAUGAUGCAUGAUGGGGAGCAUCUUUUCAGAUGCUUAUUUGCCUUCUGUAUAUUUUCUUUGGUGAUAUACAUGUUCAGGCCUUUUGCUCAUUUAAAAAAUCAGGUUUUUUUUUAUUGUUGACUUCUAAGAUUUCUUUGUAUAUUCUGGAGAACAGUCCUUUAUCAUACAUGUCUUGUGCAAAUAUGUUCCCCAAGUCUGUGGCUUUUCUUCUUAUUCUACUGACAGUGUCAGUAGUAGUAGUAGAAUUUUUGUCAUUGAUACUGUUAGGUUAGUUAUGUUUGCACUGAAAAAUGUCAAUAGUAAGUAUUAUUGUUUUAAAUGUUUCCAUGUUAAGUGAAAAUCUUUAAACUUUGAGGAAGCUUAAAAUCAUGCUACACAAAGACACCAGUAUUGGUCACAACAGAAUAAAAAGAAGGGUGUAGAUGAGAAAGCAAUGGGUGAACAACAUUUUAAGAUAAGGAAAAAGAUUAAGGCAAGACAAAAUAGAAUGAAUUCAAAUGUACAUAUUUGUUUUUCUGCAUGACAGGAUAAGAAUACCUCCUGCAGGUCACAGUGAAGAUUUUUGUUGCCUUUUAAAAACAAGUGUUUGCCAAAGACUUCAAGGAAUAUGGGAUUAUGUAAAGUGACCAAACUUUUGACUUAUUGGCAUUCCUGAGAGAGAAGUAAAAGUAAACAACUAUUUGAGAGAAUAAUUAUUUGAGGGAAUAAUUUAGAUAAAUCUCCCUAACCUUGCUAGAGAGGCCCAAAAAUAAUGCUAAAGAAAAAAAUCUUAAAGACAGCUGGAGAAAAAGGUCAAAUCACCUAUAAAGGAAAACCAAGCAGACUAACAGCAGACUUUUCGCAGAAGUCCUACAAGUCAGAAGAGAUUGGUGGCCUACUUUUUGCCCCUUUAAAGAAAAAACAUGCCAAAAUUUUAGAAUGUUAUACCCUGCCAAAGUAAGCUUCAUAAAUGAAGGAGAAAUAGUCUUUCCCAGACAAGGAAAUGCUGAGAGAAUUUGUCACCACUAGACUGAACCUAUAAGAAAUGAUCAAAGGAGUUCUAAAUAUGGAAACGAAAGGACAAUUUUUACCAUCAGAAAAGCAUACAUAUGAUGGCCAGGUGUGGUGGCUCAUGCCUGUAAUCCCAGCACUUUGGGAGGCUGAAGGGCAGGUGGAUCAUUUGAGGUCAGGAGUUUGAGACCAGUCUGGCCAACAUGGUGAAUCCCCAUCUCUACUAAAAAUACGAAGGUCAGAGAUGCUAUAAAGCAAUGAAAAACUCCAAACACAAUCAAAACUACAGAACAACUAGCUAAUAACACUACGACAGUAACAGAACCUCAUAUAUCAAUAUUAACCUUGAAUAUAAAGGGCCUAAAUGCCCUGUUUAAAAGAUAAAGUGGCAAAUCAGAUUAAAAAGACCAGACCAAACCAUCUGCUAUCUACAAGAGAUGCAUGUACUGGCUAAAGAUACAUGGAGACUCAAAGAAAAAGGAUAGAAAAAGACAUGUGAUGCAAAUAAAAAACAAAAGUGAGCAGGAGUAGCCAUUCACAUAUCAGAUAAAACAGACUUCAAACUAACAACAGUACAAGGACAAAGAAAAGCAUUACAUAAUGAUAAAGGUUCAAUACAACAAGAUUUAGCUAUCUUAAAUAUAUAUGCACCAAACACCAGAGCACCUAGAUCCAUAAAACAAAUACUAUUAGACCUAAGAAAACAGAUUGAUAGCAAUCCAGUAAUAGUGGGGUGCAAUCAAUAUUUGGGUGAUGGGUAUACUAGAAGCCCAAUCCCCAGCAUGAUGUAUGUAAUACCCAUGUAACAAAUAAAUACAUGUACCCCACUGAAUUUAAAAUACAAUUAAAAAAAAUAAAAACAAGUGUUUGUAUCUUACCUCAAAAGUCAUUUGGCUCUUGCAUCUGUAGAAACAAGGAAAAUCCAGUCAGUUGUUUUUUUCCUUAUUUCUAGGAAGAAAGAUUUAUCCUGUAUAGUAUUUCUCAAGAAAAAUAACCUAAUAAACAGACAAGAAAUGACAAUACUGUCUCCAAAAUUCCUCACUCUGAAAUUAACUAAUGAUGCCCAAAGAUUAGAAAUAGACACUGUACAUACGUUAUGUAUACAUAUUUAUACAUAUUUUACACACAAAAAAGUGCAAGUUUAAAAAUUUCCCAAUCUUGCAUGUUAGUUGAUUCAUACAGAUUUUUCAAUAUUUUUUCUUUAAGUGACAUUAGUCCAUUACCAUAUUAGAACAUUUUAAAAAAUAAUCAUACUAUCUCCUUGAAGAUCUGUAACCAUGAAAAUUAUGGACCUUAUCAGUUUAAAUGGUUCUUUAACGAAUUAGCGAUUCAAAAGAAGAUUGCCUAGGAAGAAAUCAAUACCGUGUUGAUCAUUAUUUGAUUUUCAGUUAUAAACUAGAAAGGGACACUUUUAAUGAUGCGGAUGCUUCCAAAUAUUUCUGUGUGAUAAAUUGUUUGCAAUUUCCUCAGCAUUUCAAAAGUGAGUGUCUUCAGAUUAGAGUUUCUAAAUAAAUCCCUGUUCUAAGGG
Long non-coding RNA from Pan troglodytes (chimpanzee), 3202 nucleotides. RefSeq lists it as uncharacterized. NCBI's taxonomy places the organism in Eukaryota, Metazoa, Chordata, Mammalia, Primates, Hominidae. The transcript has 3 exons. The record is from RefSeq and is a predicted model, not a curated record.